GGGCCCGCACAAGCGGUGGAGCAUGUGGUUUAAUUCGAUGAUACGCGAGGAACCUUACCAGGGCUUAAAUGGGAAAAUGACAGGGGCAGAGACGCCCCCUUCUUCGGACAUUUUUCAAGGUGCUGCAUGGUUGUCGUCAGCUCGUGCCGUGAGGUGUCAGGUUAAGUCCUAUAACGAGCGCAACCCCUACCGUUAGUUGCCAGCGUGUAAUGACGGGGACUCUAACGGAACUGCCGGUGCAAACCGUGAGGAAGGUGGGGACGACGUCAAAUCAUCACGGCCCUUACGUCCUGGGCCACACACGUGCUACAAUGGUAGGUACAGAGGGAAGCCACCCCGCGAGGGGGAGCGGA
RNAcentral lists this ribosomal RNA (353 nucleotides) under uncultured bacterium. RNAcentral describes it as "bacterial SSU rRNA". It matches the Rfam family "Bacterial small subunit ribosomal RNA", at positions 917 to 1271 of the family's 1533-position model. The record is from RNAcentral.